RNAcentral lists this long non-coding RNA (466 nucleotides) under Ananas comosus (pineapple). Its description in RNAcentral is "long non-coding RNA (ACOM_LNC003998)". The record is from RNAcentral. Lineage: Eukaryota; Viridiplantae; Streptophyta; Magnoliopsida; Poales; Bromeliaceae.
AAUAAAUUAGUUUUGGCAUAAAGGUGAGAAAAAAUGUGUUAUUUAUAGAGUUUUACUAGUAUUCUGUUAGUAGUAAACGGAUCGAUUUAUUACCAAUUUGUUUUCAAUAACAAAAUUUUCAAAUCGACGAUUGAUGCCGUUUAAUAUGAUCUAGACCAUUUAACUUAUGCAGAAAUUAAAUUUCAUACUUUUUCGAUAUCCCUAUCAGAAAAAUCAAAACGUCACGAAAUUUUUAAUUUUAAUGACCGGUACGGUUCGUUUGCUUGCUUGAUUGUAGAAGAGUCCAAAUCAGCUAAUUUUUUUUAAAAAUUUUUUUAAAACUAUUUAAAAUAAGAUUUAGACUCUAAAUCUUGAAUGCAAAACUUAUAUCAUCACUUUUUAAAGAAUAUUCAUUUUUAAUAGUUCAUUUUAUAUCCACUUGAUGGAUAAAAGAAAAAUAUCAAAAAAAUAUAAAAUUUAAUUUUUA